GAUGAACGCUGGCGGCGUGCCUAAUACAUGCAAGUCGAGCGAACAGACGAGGAGCUUGCUCCUCUGACGUUAGCGGCGGACGGGUGAGUAACACGUGGAAACCUACCUAUAAGACUGGGAUAACUUCGGGAAACCGGAGCUAAUACCGGAUAAUAUAUUUAACCGCAUGUGUCAAUAGGAAAAGACGGUUUUGCUGUCACUUAUAGAUGGAUCCGCGCCGCAUUAGCUAGUUGGUAAGGUAACGGCUUACCAAGGCAACGAUGCGUAGCCGACCUGAGAGGGUGAUCGGCCACCCUGGAACUGAGACACGGUCCAGACUCCUACGGGAGGCAGCAGUAGGGAAUCUUCCGCAAUGGGCGAAAGCCUGACGGAGCAACGCCGCGUGAGUGAUGAAGGUCUUCGGAUCGUAAAACUCUGUUAUUAGGGAAGAACAAAUGUGUAAGUAACUAUGCACGUCUUGACGGUACCUAAUCAGGAAGCCACGGCUAACUACGUG
RNAcentral lists this ribosomal RNA (496 nucleotides) under uncultured bacterium. Its description in RNAcentral is "partial 16S ribosomal RNA". It matches the Rfam family "Bacterial small subunit ribosomal RNA", at positions 28 to 507 of the family's 1533-position model. The record is from RNAcentral.